CCGUGCUAGCCGGGGAACUAGCGGUGCCCUGUACCUGCAAUCCGCUACAGCAGGGGUGAUGUUCUGUUUCGGAUGUCUUGUUCACGGAGCUGCCCGGUUAUGGGGGCGUUGAUGUUCUGGUCUUACGCAAUGGAAACUUACGAACCGUGUCAGGAGGGGAACCUAGCAGCACUAAGUAAGAACUUCUGUGUGCCGUGAGGGUGCUGGAGCUGAGUCUGCUGUGCCGGUA
This 229-nucleotide signal recognition particle RNA is filed under the name human gut metagenome. RNAcentral's name for it is "Bacterial large signal recognition particle RNA". It matches the Rfam family "Bacterial large signal recognition particle RNA", at positions 1 to 226 of the family's 256-position model. From Rfam's summary of the family: The signal recognition particle (SRP) is a universally conserved ribonucleoprotein involved in the co-translational targeting of proteins to membranes. Archaeal SRP consists of a 7S RNA and homologues of the eukaryotic SRP19 and SRP54 proteins. The record is from RNAcentral.